Parus major (Great Tit) is the source of this 1002-nucleotide long non-coding RNA. RefSeq lists it as uncharacterized. The transcript has 3 exons. Lineage: Eukaryota; Metazoa; Chordata; Aves; Passeriformes; Paridae. The record is from RefSeq and is a predicted model, not a curated record.
AGUCUGUCUGAUUAGCAAAAAACACACACUGGUUAAACAGCCUGUAGUGUAAUCACUGCUUGUAAUCACAGCUGGCCUCAAUAAACCUUCAAGAAAGAGGAAUACCCCAGAGGAAGCCUUGCUGUCCUGGCACUCAGGAAGGGCACACCAGUGCUCCAUAAAGUGCAUUGGACUGCCCUGAUCCGGGUUUCAGGAUGAACUGGGUGACCGAGGGCUGCUCACAGAGGAAUGACCACAGCACUUCCUUAGCACAGGCAGCAUACAAGAGAUUUUUACUGUAGGAGAAUCAAGGAGCACAACAAUCAUCUAAUUAAUGGCUGAAGUGGCUUAUAACCAUGAGUCUUCAAGGGAUUGCAGUCCAGUCCCUGGGAGCUGACAAUGGAAGCUCAGAGUACUCAGAAGCUUUAUAUCUACAUCUUCUGUGACUGCCCAGCUGCUCCAGCAGCUCUGCUUUUCAUUAAUAGAACAGCUACAACCUGAUUCUUCAUGGAAGGUUUUGAUGUUUUUUAGGUACUUUACAGCUUAUGUUUAAAAUGAAUACAACUAUUAAUCAGGACUCUAAACAAGCCCUGGUUCCAGAUGCUUCAAGGGUGCCAAUAUGGUUUGAGGAAUAAAGCUGAUGUUACAGCUGAAGUUGAGAAAUAUUGAUGAAAGAUCCCAGGACAGUAAUUGAACAGAAGAUUUCAGACUGUUGGGGAGAUGGAUGGUAACUCUGUAUGAGUCUGGAACGUGGUGUUUGGGUUUUGUUUGGUUUCAGCUUUUGGCUUGUUUCUUUUUUUUUUCCAUGCCAAUCCCCACUGCUGGCUGGAGGAAAUUCACAUUUGGCAUUCAAUCUGUGAUAACAUUUAAAAUUAAAAUUUACAGAAGCUAUGCUUUUCUCUCUUCCCCAAGAGAGGAAGCAGUUACUGAACUAUGCCAUCUAUUUAUUUAUUUGCUUUUUUGCAUAUUUCUGUCCACAGCAGGGAAACCUCUCCUCUUGGUUUUCUGCUCAUUUUACCUGAG